RNAcentral lists this ribosomal RNA (599 nucleotides) under Rossellomorea marisflavi. RNAcentral's name for it is "bacterial SSU rRNA". It matches the Rfam family "Bacterial small subunit ribosomal RNA", at positions 83 to 667 of the family's 1533-position model. The record is from RNAcentral. Lineage: Bacteria; Bacillati; Bacillota; Bacilli; Caryophanales; Bacillaceae.
UCCCUGAGAUCAGCGGCGGACGGGUGAGUAACACGUGGGUAACCUGCCUGUAAGACUGGGAUAACUCCGGGAAACCGGGGCUAAUACCGGAUAACACCUACCCCCGCAUGGGGGAAGGUUGAAAGGUGGCUUCGGCUAUCACUUACAGAUGGACCCGCGGCGCAUUAGCUAGUUGGUGAGGUAAUGGCUCACCAAGGCGACGAUGCGUAGCCGACCUGAGAGGGUGAUCGGCCACACUGGGACUGAGACACGGCCCAGACUCCUACGGGAGGCAGCAGUAGGGAAUCUUCCGCAAUGGACGAAAGUCUGACGGAGCAACGCCGCGUGAGUGAAGAAGGUUUUCGGAUCGUAAAACUCUGUUGUUAGGGAAGAACAAGUGCCGUUCGAAUAGGGCGGCGCCUUGACGGUACCUAACCAGAAAGCCACGGCUAACUACGUGCCAGCAGCCGCGGUAAUACGUAGGUGGCAAGCGUUGUCCGGAAUUAUUGGGCGUAAAGCGCGCGCAGGUGGUUUCUUAAGUCUGAUGUGAAAGCCCACGGCUCAACCGUGGAGGGUCAUUGGAAACUGGGGAACUUGAGUGCAGAAGAGGAAAGUGGAAU